RNAcentral lists this ribosomal RNA (833 nucleotides) under Campylobacter jejuni. RNAcentral describes it as "bacterial SSU rRNA". It matches the Rfam family "Bacterial small subunit ribosomal RNA", at positions 608 to 1438 of the family's 1533-position model. The record is from RNAcentral. Lineage: Bacteria; Pseudomonadati; Campylobacterota; Epsilonproteobacteria; Campylobacterales; Campylobacteraceae.
CUUAACCAUUAAACUGCUUGGGAAACUGAUAGUCUAGAGUGAGGGAGAGGCAGAUGGAAUUGGUGGUGUAGGGGUAAAAUCCGUAGAUAUCACCAAGAAUACCCAUUGCGAAGGCGAUCUGCUGGAACUCAACUGACGCUAAGGCGCGAAAGCGUGGGGAGCAAACAGGAUUAGAUACCCUGGUAGUCCACGCCCUAAACGAUGUACACUAGUUGUUGGGAUGCUAGUCAUCUCAGUAAUGCAGCUAACGCAUUAAGUGUACCGCCUGGGGAGUACGGUCGCAAGAUUAAAACUCAAAGGAAUAGACGGGGACCCGCACAAGCGGUGGAGCAUGUGGUUUAAUUCGAAGAUACGCGAAGAACCUUACCUGGGCUUGAUAUCCUAAGAACCUUAUAGAGAUAUGAGGGUGCUAGCUUGCUAGAACUUAGAGACAGGUGCUGCACGGCUGUCGUCAGCUCGUGUCGUGAGAUGUUGGGUUAAGUCCCGCAACGAGCGCAACCCACGUAUUUAGUUGCUAACGGUUCGGCCGAGCACUCUAAAUAGACUGCCUUCGUAAGGAGGAGGAAGGUGUGGACGACGUCAAGUCAUCAUGGCCCUUAUGCCCAGGGCGACACACGUGCUACAAUGGCAUAUACAAUGAGACGCAAUACCGCGAGGUGGAGCAAAUCUAUAAAAUAUGUCCCAGUUCGGAUUGUUCUCUGCAACUCGAGAGCAUGAAGCCGGAAUCGCUAGUAAUCGUAGAUCAGCCAUGCUACGGUGAAUACGUUCCCGGGUCUUGUACUCACCGCCCGUCACACCAUGGGAGUUGAUUUCACUCGAAGCCGGAAUACUAA